RNAcentral lists this long non-coding RNA (427 nucleotides) under Homo sapiens (human). RNAcentral describes it as "HSALNT0297940". Lineage: Eukaryota; Metazoa; Chordata; Mammalia; Primates; Hominidae. The record is from RNAcentral.
UACUGCCAUGUAAGAAGUGCCUUUCACCUCCCGCCAUGAUUCUGAGGCCUCCCCAGCCAUGUGGAACUCUGGACCCUGGGUACCUGGCUGAAGACUUUGGACUUUAACCUGGAGAUGAUGGAGAGUAUGCAGGAUAAAGUCCAUACCAAAUCCAACGCCUAGCAAAUGGAGAACAAGCCAAAACUAACAAGAUAAAAUGUAGCAGGAAAAAGUGCAAAGAGCUGAAGUGUGGAAUAAGUGGGAGAGGUCUGCCAUGCCCUAUCUGACCUUGCUGCCAUGAUCUUUAAGGCUGUGUGUCCUGGUUGGUGCAGCUACAAGAUGGCAGAAAUGCCUAAGUGAUGGUAUGGAACAGAGGAUCCCUCUUCUCACCAUUGUCUUGCAUGUUUCCUUGUGUGAACCACAAAUAAACUUUUGUUAUGUUAAGCUG